UAUUUUGGGUGAUCGCUAUAUUUUAAUAUAGAGGAAAGUCCAUGCUCACACAAUCUGAGAUGAUUGUAGUGUUCGUGCUUGAUGAAACAAUAAGUCAAGGCAAUCAAUGAUUGACGGCAGUGAAAAAACCUAAGUCAUAUGAUAUGGUUUAAGUAAUUGUAAAGUGCCACAGUGACGUAGCUUUAUUAGAAAUAAUAAAGGUGGAACGCGGUAAACCCCUCGAGUGAGCAAUCCAAAUUCGGUAGGAGCACUCGUCUGAUGGAAAUGAACGUACAGAUGAGGGAAAGUAGAUUUACUUUCCAGACAGAUGAUUACCACCUAAGUACCAGUGCAACUAGUACACGUUAUGAGUACAAAGGAACAGAACAUGGCUUACAGAA
Molecule: RNase P RNA, 380 nt
Filed under: Staphylococcus felis
Lineage: Bacteria; Bacillati; Bacillota; Bacilli; Caryophanales; Staphylococcaceae
Description: RNase P RNA component class B
Rfam family: Bacterial RNase P class B
About the family: Ribonuclease P (RNase P) is a ubiquitous endoribonuclease, found in archaea, bacteria and eukarya as well as chloroplasts and mitochondria.
Source: RNAcentral